GUGGGGAAUAUUGGACAAUGGGCGCAAGCCUGAUCCAGCCAUGCCGCGUGAGUGAUGAAGGUCUUAGGAUUGUAAAGCUCUUUCACCGGUGAAGAUAAUGACGGUAACCGGAGAAGAAGCCCCGGCUAACUUCGUGCCAGCAGCCGCGGUAAUACGAAGGGGGCUAGCGUUGUUCGGAAUUACUGGGCGUAAAGCGCACGUAGGCGGAUAUUUAAGUCAGGGGUGAAAUCCCAGAGCUCAACUCUGGAACUGCCUUUGAUACUGGGUAUAUUGAGUAUGGAAGAGGUGAGUGGAAUUCCGAGUGUAGAGGUGAAAUUCGUAGAUAUUCGGAGGAACACCAGUGGCGAAGGCGGCUCACUGGUCCAUUACUGACGCUGAGGUGCGAAAGCGUGGGGAGCAAACAGGAUUAGAUACCCUAGUAGUCC
Molecule: ribosomal RNA, 425 nt
Filed under: uncultured bacterium
Lineage: Bacteria
Description: partial 16S ribosomal RNA
Rfam family: Bacterial small subunit ribosomal RNA
Source: RNAcentral